AUAAUAAAUCUUGUGACUUUACUUCCUUUGUGGGGAUAUAUUGAGACUGUGCAUUCAGUCAAAAUGACCCCAUGGGUUUCACUUCCCCAAAGUGGGAGCUGGAUGUGGAGGGAGCUCCCUGCUGCCCCCAUGUGGGUGGAUCGUGCCCUCACUCAGCAGGUCAUAAUCUGCAUUUUCUUAAUUCAGGGUGGGCUCUGGCCUCUCAACACACAAGGGCCCCCACCUGCCCAGCAACCUCAUUUGACUCCUUCCCACCUCUAGCCACUGCUCCUCCAAAGCCUCUCCAGGGCCUAUUCUCCACAGAAGUUCUUUAUAGAUAUCUUCUGAGCAGGUGCAGGCCUGCUUAGGUGGGGUCUGAAGCUUAUACAAUUUAGGGGAUGCUUGAUAAGAAACAAACAAAAAAAGUGAAUAAUAAAUUACAUCUAAAAAUGAUGUUUAGAAUUGAAAGGAAAUCACAGCAAAUUAUUGGAGCCUUGGAGAUUUGUGUUUCUCUUGACCAAGGUCUCUUUGGGCAGUUUAGUGAAAACCAUUCCCUAGAAAUAUUUAACUGCAACCUGGCUUCACCCUGCCUAGAAGAUUCUAGGUCAGUGGUCCUCAAAGUGGGGCCCUGAUGGGCAGCAUCUGGAUGGCAGAGGAAAAUGGAAAUUCUUGCUCUUCUGCUGACUGAAUCAGAAAUUCUGGCGACGGGGCCCUUCAGGUGACUAAAAUCUCUGCCCCCAAAUUAUGUUGAGGUGGGUUUUGCUUCUCAGGUUGAGUUGAAGUGUAGCACACAUACAGCACAGUAAAGCAUACAGCUUGGUGAAUUUUUGUGUAAUUGGACCCGAAGGGAACCACCACCCUGUGCAGGUGUUUUCAAUCAGGAGCGAUACCUAAAAACAGAAAAAAGGAGCUGGCAAGGGUAUGUCAGUUGGGGUGCCUUUGGAGACACACAGCCCCAAACCCCAGCACACACUGACCUAAAGCCAAGGAAAUGUCAUGUGUGUGGUCAGCCCAUUCAAGAUGGCUGUCCUCGGAGUUCCCGUCAUGGCGCAGUGGAAAUGAAUCCGACUAGGAACCAUGAGGUUGCAGGUUCGAUCCUUGGCCUUGCUCAGUGAGUUGAUGAUCCGGCAUUGCUGUGAGUUUUGGUGUAGUUCGCAGACGCAGCUUGGAUCUGGCGUUGCUGUGGCUCUGGCGUAGGCUGGUGGCUACAGCUCCAAUUAGACCCCUAGCCUGGGAACCUCCAAAUGCUGAGAGUGCAGCCCUAAAAAGGACAAAAAAGACAAAAAAAAAAGAUGGCUGUCCUCUUGCUCUCUCUGUCCUUUGCUCAACUGGCCCCUGCUUUACUCACAUAACUAUCCAAUUCUCUUAAUUAUAAGGCUUAACUAGUCACUGGUAACUGAUGAGCCCACCUGACAUCAACUCCCCCUAUAACUGGUAGCCUCUGGUCCUGGGGGUGGAGAGGAUUGCUGCUUUGUUCUGCCUGCUAUUCACCGUAGGGGUGCAGCUCCAGGAUGGUGCUUUGGAUGGGUAAGUUCUCCCGUCCAACAAAUUGUUGGUUUCUCUGUUACUGUCUCCAGGCUCCUUCUCUGGUCUGAAGGCUGGGCCACCAAUGGGCAAGCCAGCCAAGAGGCCAACAAAGCUCCCAUGAACACUGGAAAAUGGAAAGUUUUAGGGGAAACUAGGGGUGGUCGUCUACUCGAGUAUGGAGCCCUGUGACAUCUGUCUUUUCUUUUUUUUCUUUGGCCACUCCUAGCACAUGGAAGUUCCUGGGCCAGAGAUUGAACUCGAGCUACAGCAGUGACCAAUGCUUAACUGCUAGGCCACCAGGGAACCCUGGCAUCUCUCCUUGAUGAAUGGGGGCCGCCAAGAGACUACGGGAAAUCGGGAGUUCCCAUCGUGGCUCAAUGGUUAACAAGUGAGAACCAUAAGGUUGCAGGUUCGACCCCUGCCCUUGCUCAGUGGGUUAAGGAUCCGGCGUUGCUGUGAGCUGUGGUGUAGGUUGCAUACGCAGCUCAGGUCCCGCAUUGCUGUGGCUCUGGCAUAGGCUGGCAGCUACAGCUCCGAUUCAACCCCUAGCUUGGGAAUCUCCACAUGCCGUGGGAGCGGCCCAAGAAACAGCAAAAAGACAAAAAAAAACAAGAGACUACAGGAAGUCCCUUGACUCCCUAAGGGAGUUGUGAACUGUUGGCUGCUGUUACUGUCGGGAAAAGAACCUAGACAGCAAGGCGGUGCCCGUGGCUGUGAGCUGGCCACUGCUUUGGAUGCUGAGAAAGGCCACAGACACUGAGCUAGUGGCCAAGGCAGAGGUUAGGAGCCUAGAAGAGGAACUCUAGGCCGGCCCAAACCGAAACUGCUGAAUCGUUAAUGGCCAGAUUGAGGAAAUAAAAUGGGAAGUAGAGAUGUUUGCCUGCCGAGGGACCUGGCUGAAGGAAGGCAGCUUCCCUGAAAGAAGGCUCGAGUGGUCAUGGCCCAUCCAAAGGAGACCCUCAGAGUUCCCAUCGUGACUCAGUGGAAAUGAAUCUGACUAGUAUCAUUGAGGGUGCAUGUUUGAUCCCUGGCCUCAUUCAGUGGGUUAAGGAUCCAGCAUUGCCUUGAACUGUGGUGCAGGUUGCAGACUCAGCUCGGAUCUGACAUUGCUGUGGCUGUGGUGUAGGCUGCCAGCUGCAGGUCAGAUUCAGCCCCCUAGCCUGGAAACCACCACAUAGCAUGGGUGUGUCCCUAGAAAAAAAAAAGAUGGGGGGACCCUCGAGCUGUGGGAUCCUGCUGAGAGCCUCCGUCCCACAGGAUGCAGAUGAAGGGCCGAUCCCCGCCCCAGAGCGGAGGCCGCUGACCACCAGGAGAGAUGUCCCUCAUCCAUCACGCUGAUGAUAUCCCGAUAACCCUGGGGUCGCCUUCCAGGAUAAAAGCUGCAGCCCCCUCGGAUCAUCUACUAUAAAGAUGGAAGGAACUGAGAUGGGAAAAAGAGUAGCAGCCUCCACGCUCGAGGCUCCCAUGACCGCAUAGGGCUGGCUGGUGAAUGCAGACAAAGUGCAAAGACCUGGAUUAUCUGUCAGAUACUGGGGUGUUAUCUGGUUGGGGUGAGACAAAAGUGGCACUCUCAGCAGUUACUGACAAAAUGCAAGCAUACCCCCAUCCCACCAGCUCUAAACAAUUAAACAUGUCUAGGGCUCCAUGGCUAUUGACGGCCUUUCAUCCCUCAUCUGGCCCAACCUUUGCAACAGUAUAGGCUUGUGAAGAAGGGGGCUCAUUGGGAUUGGAUCCAGGGGAGGAACAUGCCUUCACCCAAGCCCAGGUGGCUGUUAAACAGACACAGGCUUUAGGGAUAUUAACUCGGGGACAGGCUUCUAAGUUGAAUGUGACCCCAGCUACCUGGAAGGAUUGGGUUGGGGCCUGUGGUGAUGGCAAAAUUACAAGAGUACCCUUUGGCUUCUGGCCCCAGCAAUAGAAGGGCGCAGAAGGAUGUAGCGUGAUAGAGCAACAGCUGUGUGCAAUCUACACAAUGUUUGACAGCAGGUGAAAGACAUCACGAAAGGUACCCUAGUAACUUGUAUGUAGUCACUUAUCCUGUAGCUGGGUGGUAGAGGAUGCCUUCCAGAAGCCCAAGUCCAGGCCUGCCCCAAUCCAAACCAUAGUAGCUAAGUACCAUGCCUAUUGAAGUCUGCAUAGCACUUUAUCUAGCAGCCCAUUGAGUGUAGAGUUACAUGCUGUCUUAGGUCCAGUUACAUGCAUCACUGGGGCCCCCACCAGCCUGACAAGACAGCUGAUCCUCCCGAGAUACCAUCUUUAGCGAAGGAAGGUGGAGGCCCCACCCCUUCGGAAGCUUGGUGUCGGCCUGGGGUAACUCACGUGGGUGGACAGCGGGGGCCACCAGCCUGUGACGGACACGAUAUGGAUAGAUAUACUCCGGGGCUUCUCCUACAGGGAAAGGACCUCGAAAGUGACCAAGGAACCCACUUUGCCAGCCAGGACGUUCAGCAAUGGGGUGGUAAAAAUGAUGGACAGAGUUGCCUUCAUGACUCGGCAGUUAACGAACCUGACUAGGAUCCAUGAGGUUUGAUCCCCGGCCUCGCUCAGUGGGAUAAGGAUCCAGCAUUGCCGUGAGCUGUGGUGUAGGUUGCGGAAACGGCUUGGAUCCUGCGUGGCUGUUGCUGUGGCGAAGGCCGGCAGCUGUAGCUCCACUUAGACCCCUAUCCUGGGAACCUCCA
RNAcentral lists this long non-coding RNA (4184 nucleotides) under Sus scrofa (pig). RNAcentral describes it as "lncRNA (ENSSSCG00000060152.1)". Lineage: Eukaryota; Metazoa; Chordata; Mammalia; Artiodactyla; Suidae. The record is from RNAcentral.